This 798-nucleotide ribosomal RNA is filed under the name uncultured bacterium. RNAcentral's name for it is "bacterial SSU rRNA". It matches the Rfam family "Bacterial small subunit ribosomal RNA", at positions 8 to 796 of the family's 1533-position model. The record is from RNAcentral.
AGAGUUUGAUCCUGGCUCAGGACGAACGCUGGCGGCGUGCCUAAUACAUGCAAGUCGAGCGGAUUGCACCUUCGGGUGCAGUUAGCGGCGGACGGGUGAGUAACACGUAGGCAACCUGCCUGUAGGAUCGGGAUAACUACCGGAAACGGUAGCUAAGACCGGAUACCUGCCCUUGGCGCAUGCCUGGGGCAAGAAACGCGGAGCAAUCUGUGGCCUAUAGAUGGGCCUGCGGCGCAUUAGCUAGUUGGUGGGGUAACGGCCCACCAAGGCGACGAUGCGUAGCCGACCUGAGAGGGUGACCGGCCACACUGGGACUGAGACACGGCCCAGACUCCUACGGGAGGCAGCAGUAGGGAAUCUUCCGCAAUGGACGCAAGUCUGACGGAGCAACGCCGCGUGAGUGAUGAAGGUUUUCGGAUCGUAAAGCUCUGUUGCCAGGGACGAAAAGCACCGAGAGUAACUGUUCGGUGUGUGACGGUACCUGAGAAGAAAGCCCCGGCUAACUACGUGCCAGCAGCCGCGGUAAUACGUAGGGGGCAAGCGUUGUCCGGAAUUAUUGGGCGUAAAGCGCGCGCAGGCGGCCAUUUAAGUUUGGUGUAUAAUCCCGGGGCUCAACCCCGGGCCGCACCGAAAACUGGGUGGCUUGAGUGCGGGAGAGGAAAGUGGAAUUCCACGUGUAGCGGUGAAAUGCGUAGAUAUGUGGAGGAACACCAGUGGCGAAGGCGACUUUCUGGACCGUAACUGACGCUGAGGCGCGAAAGCGUGGGGAGCAAACAGGAUUAGAUACCCCAGUAGUCC